CAGUAGCCGCGGGAAUACGUAGGUGGCAGGCGUUGUCCGGAAUUAUUGGGCGUAAAGGGCUCGCAGGCGGUUUCUUAAGUCUGAUGUGAAAGCCCCCGGCUCAACCGGGGAGGGUCAUUGGAAACUGGGAAACUUGAGUGCAGAAGAGGAGAGUGGAAUUCCACGUGUAGCGGUGAAAUGCGUAGAGAUGUGGAGGAACACCAGUGGCGAAGGCGACUCUCUGGUCUGUAACCGACGCUGAGGAGCGAAAGCGUGGGGAGCGAACAGGAUUAGAUACCCGCGUAGUCCCUGUCUCUUAUAC
This 301-nucleotide ribosomal RNA is filed under the name uncultured bacterium. Its description in RNAcentral is "partial 16S ribosomal RNA". It matches the Rfam family "Bacterial small subunit ribosomal RNA", at positions 509 to 807 of the family's 1533-position model. The record is from RNAcentral.